This 74-nucleotide transfer RNA is filed under the name Loxodonta africana (African savanna elephant). It matches the Rfam family "tRNA". Rfam says of the family: Transfer RNA (tRNA) molecules are approximately 80 nucleotides in length. Their secondary structure includes four short double-helical elements and three loops (D, anti-codon, and T loops). Lineage: Eukaryota; Metazoa; Chordata; Mammalia; Proboscidea; Elephantidae. The record is from Rfam by way of RNAcentral.
CCCUGAGUGGUGCAAAAGGUUAAUGUGCUUGGCUGCUGACCAAAAGGUUGGUGGUUCAAGUCCACCCAGGGGGU